GGAGCGGUAGUUCAGCUGGUUAGAAUACCUGCCUGUCACGCAGGGGGUCUCGGGUUCGAGUCCCGUCCGUUCCGCCA
RNAcentral lists this transfer RNA (77 nucleotides) under Mannheimia pernigra. RNAcentral describes it as "tRNA-Asp". It matches the Rfam family "tRNA". From Rfam's summary of the family: Transfer RNA (tRNA) molecules are approximately 80 nucleotides in length. Their secondary structure includes four short double-helical elements and three loops (D, anti-codon, and T loops). Further hydrogen bonds mediate the characteristic L-shaped molecular structure. tRNAs have two regions of fundamental functional importance: the anti-codon, which is responsible for specific mRNA codon recognition, and the 3' end, to which the tRNAs corresponding amino acid is attached (by aminoacyl-tRNA synthetases). tRNAs cope with the degeneracy of the genetic code in two manners: having more than one tRNA (with a specific anti-codon) for a particular amino acid; and 'wobble' base-pairing, i.e. permitting non-standard base-pairing at the 3rd anti-codon position. Lineage: Bacteria; Pseudomonadati; Pseudomonadota; Gammaproteobacteria; Pasteurellales; Pasteurellaceae. The record is from RNAcentral.